AAUGAACGCUGGCGGCGUGCUUAACACAUGCAAGUCGCACGAGAACGCUUUAGCUUGCUAAAGCAAGUAAAGUGGCGCACGGGUGAGUAACGCGUGGGCAAUCUGCCUAUAAGACUGGGAUAACUUCGGGAAACCGGAGCUAAUACCGGAUAAUUCUUUUCUACACAUGUAGAAAAGCUAAAAGACGGUUUACGCUGUCACUUAUAGAUGGGCCCGCGGCGCAUUAGCUAGUUGGUGAGGUAACGGCUCACCAAGGCCACGAUGCGUAGCCGACCUGAGAGGGUGAUCGGCCACACUGGGACUGAGACACGGCCCAGACUCCUACGGGUGGCUG
This 334-nucleotide ribosomal RNA is filed under the name uncultured Bacillota bacterium. RNAcentral's name for it is "bacterial SSU rRNA". It matches the Rfam family "Bacterial small subunit ribosomal RNA", at positions 29 to 351 of the family's 1533-position model. The record is from RNAcentral. Lineage: Bacteria; Bacillati; Bacillota.